CAGUAGCCGCGGUAAUACGUAGGGCGCAAGCGUUAAUCGGAAUUACUGGGCGUAAAGCGUGCGCAGGCGGUUCUGCAAGACAGAUGUGAAAUCCCCGGGCUCAACCUGGGAACUGCAUUUGUGACUGUAGAGCUGGAGUGCGGCAGAGGGGGAUGGAAUUCCGCGUGUAGCAGUGAAAUGCGUAGAUAUGCGGAGGAACACCGAUGGCGAAGGCAAUCCCCUGGGCCUGCACUGACGCUCAUGCACGAAAGCGUGGGGAGCAAACAGGAUUAGAUACCCGUGUAGUCCCUGUCUCUUAUAC
This 301-nucleotide ribosomal RNA is filed under the name uncultured bacterium. Its description in RNAcentral is "partial 16S ribosomal RNA". It matches the Rfam family "Bacterial small subunit ribosomal RNA", at positions 509 to 807 of the family's 1533-position model. The record is from RNAcentral.